This 66-nucleotide transfer RNA is filed under the name Megaloblatta sp. ECMD1. RNAcentral describes it as "tRNA-His". The record is from RNAcentral. Lineage: Eukaryota; Metazoa; Arthropoda; Insecta; Blattodea; Nyctiboridae.
ACUUAAGUAGUUUAUUUAAAAAUAUUGAUUUGUGGAUUCAGUGAUAUAAUUAAUUUAUCUUAGGUA